UGGGGAAUUUUGGACAAUGGGCGAAAGCCUGAUCCAGCAAUGCCGCGUGUGUGAGGAAGGCCUUCGGGUUGUAAAGCACUUUUGUCCGGAAAGAAAUCCUUGGCUCUAAUACAGUCGGGGGAUGACGGUACCGGAAGAAUAAGCACCGGCUAACUACGUGCCAGCAGCCGCGGUAAUACGUAGGGUGCAAGCGUUAAUCGGAAUUACUGGGCGUAAAGCGUGCGCAGGCGGUUUGCUAAGACCGAUGUGAAAUCCCCGGGCUCAACCUGGGAACUGCAUUGGUGACUGGCAGGCUAGAGUAUGGCAGAGGGGGGUAGAAUUCCACGUGUAGCAGUGAAAUGCGUAGAGAUGUGGAGGAAUACCGAUGGCGAAGGCAGCCCCCCGGGCCAAUACUGACGCUCAUGCACGAAAGCGUGGGGAGCAAACAGGAUUAGAUACCCUGGUAGUCCACGCCCUAAACGAUGUCAACUAGUUGUUGGGGACUUCAUUUUCCUUAGUAACGUAGCUAACGCGUGAAGUU
This 520-nucleotide ribosomal RNA is filed under the name uncultured bacterium. Its description in RNAcentral is "partial 16S ribosomal RNA". It matches the Rfam family "Bacterial small subunit ribosomal RNA", at positions 355 to 866 of the family's 1533-position model. The record is from RNAcentral.